Molecule: unclassified non-coding RNA, 210 nt
Filed under: Hevea brasiliensis (rubber tree)
Lineage: Eukaryota; Viridiplantae; Streptophyta; Magnoliopsida; Malpighiales; Euphorbiaceae
Source: RNAcentral
GGGAAAGAUCCUCAUCUGCUGUAACUAUCUCAUAAAUUAAAAGAAGUUGCCAUUAGUGAUGCUCCUUACACUUGGAAUUCUAGUCAAUUGAAGAGAAAAGGGAAACAGGUGUUAAGCGAUUGCAGUGCGCUCAAACGCAAAAUUAUUUGCCUAAUCCACCACAUUAACAUUAUUGGUCAUUCUGAAGUACAAGCUCUUACUAAGAAGCGG